GUUUCCGUAGGUGAACCUGCGGAAGGAUCAUUAACGGAUAGUUGCUUUGCUUGCUCGCUUUGCUUGCUUGCUAAAGAAACAAUCAAUAUCCAAACCUUUACCACUUGAACGCCAAUUGCCCGUUAGCAAUCAUUGCUAAUGAGCUGAUCAUGUGUUGGUUCUACAUGUCAGUGUGACCCAGAGAAAGGCUAACCCUCUUACUCGGUACAACUCCCUUGAACGCUUGCCGUUUAACUUGUCUGUGCACGCCAUGCAUACUGUCUCUACCACGCCAAGUAAGCCAUUUAGGUUGAUUCAUUUUGGGCAAUCAUGAAAUGAAUCACCACCUAAUGGUGGCUGUUGGUCGAGAAAGAUAGCAUACAGUGCUUCUAAGCAGACUAACCAAACUGAAGCACCCGUACCGGUGUAGUUACCAGCCAAUUAUCACACACACCCAAUGACAUGAACUUUCCAUGAAAGCUCUCCUUGUAUCCAUUCGAUUGGUGCCUAGUCUGCGUUUCCUGCCAAACUAACCUUUGGCGAUGGAUGCAGGGUGUCAGCAACUAGCAACUCUUUUGGGUAGCUUCUGCUGCUGCUAGGCUUAAAUAUCUACGCCAAGCGCCGAAGCCUCGAAUGCAAGGUUCUCGCGUGCAGCACACAUUCACAUGUGAGCAGUACGUUGAGUGAGACUGUCUCUGGACGGUUACAGUCUUCACAGACUGUAGCCACCAGACGUUCAGUUUUCAUUCUCUAAACUCAACUUAAGCCAAAAUCAAAACUGAUUAACCUUAAAUUGUUCCCUUGACGGGUCAAUUUAUAAAAAGACAAUUACAACUGUUAGUGGUGGAUCACUCGGCACGCUGAUCGAGGAAGAACGCAGCUAGCUGCGUUAAUCGGUAUAAAAUGCAGGACAUGCCGAAUACUCGACUUUCGAACGCAUAUUGCAGCCUUGGUCAUACCUUGGCUUCGUUUGUCUGAGCGUCGUUAACAAGCCAAAAACUAUCAAAAGGUCCGUUCACCUUCGUAUCCUAACCUUCCAUUGGUUGAUUCGUCGGGCCACCUUUAAACACUACUUUAAAAUGUACUUUUGUCAUUUUAAUGUGCCCAUACGAGCGUAAAGACAGUUAACCAUACUGAUCUUUUUUGCGUGCCAAUACAUGCCAGUCUCCUAACCGAGAAUGGUAUUUGGAUGUAGGGCUUUUGACACUACAUGUCAAAAUGCUUGAGCAAUUAGAUCGGGUUCCAUACCUUAUGGUACCAAUGUAUGUUUGCCUUUACAUUUAACAGUCUCGAAUGGUUAAUGCAACAUUAAUCUGCUUGUACAGUUUACUUGAGAAGUGUCACAAUAGUUUAUACCUUACUAGUCGUUGACCGUUAAAAAGUCAAUCUUCUGGUUGUUAACCUUCGACCUCAGGUCAAGCGAGAUUA
This 1407-nucleotide ribosomal RNA is filed under the name Acarus farris. RNAcentral describes it as "eukaryotic LSU rRNA". The stretch from base 812 to 963 matches the Rfam family "5.8S ribosomal RNA". The record is from RNAcentral. Lineage: Eukaryota; Metazoa; Arthropoda; Arachnida; Sarcoptiformes; Acaridae.